GAUGAACGCUAGCGGCAGGCUUAAUACAUGCAAGUCGAGGGGCAGCACGAGUAGCAAUACUUGGUGGCGACCGGCGCACGGGUGCGUAACGCGUAUGCAAUCUACCUUCAACAGGGGAAUAACUCUGGGAAACCGGAACUAAUACCCCAUAGAAUUAUGAAUCGGCAUCGGUUUAUAAUUAAAGAUUUAUUGGUUGGAGAUGAGCAUGCGUUGGAUUAGAUAGUUGGUGAGGUAACGGCUCACCAAGUCGACGAUCCAUAGGGGAACUGAGAGGUUUAUCCCCCACAUUGGUACUGAGACACGGACCAAACUCCUACGGGAGGCAGCAGUAGGGAAUAUUGGGCAAUGGAAGAGAUUCUGACCCAGCCAUGCCGCGUGCAGGACUACGGCGCUAUGCGUUGUAAACUGCUUUUAUACUGGGGUAACAGUGGGUACGUGUACCCAUUUGAAAGUACAGUAAGAAUAAGCAUCGGCUAACUCCGUGCCAGCAGCCGCGGUAAUACGGAGGAUGCAAGCGUUAUCCGGAUUUAUUGGGUUUAAAGGGUGCGCAGGCGGAAUAGUAAGUCAGUGGUGAAAUCUCUCAGCUUAACUGAGGAACUGCCAUUGAUACUGCUAAUCUGGAGUACAAACGGCGUAGGCGGAAUAUGACAAGUAGCGGUGAAAUGCGUAGAUAUGUCAUAGAACACCGAUAGGGUAGCCAGCUUACGAGGCUGUAACUGACGCUCAAGCACGAAAGCGUGGGUAUCAAACAGGAUUAGAUACCCUGGUAGUCCACGCUGUAAACGAUGAACACUCGUUGUCGGCACGAUGGUGUCGGCGGCUAAGCGAAAGUGAUAAGUGUUCCACCUGGGGAGUACGUUCGCAAGUAUGAAACUCAAAGGAAUUGACGGGGGCCCGCACAAGCGGAGGAGCAUGUGGUUUAAUUCGAUGAUACGCGAGGAACCUUACCUAGACUUGAACGCAGAGAGAAUGUUGGAGAAAUCCAACAGCUGUUAAAGGCUGUCUGCGAGGUGCUGCAUGGUUGUCGUCAGCUCGUGCCGUGAGGUGUUAGGUUAAGUCCUGCAACGAGCGCAACCCUUACUGUUAGUUACCAUCGCGUUAUGGCGGGGACUCUGGCAGAACUGCCCACGCAAGUGCGGAGGAAGGUGGGGAUGACGUCAAAUCAGCACGGCCCUUAUGUCUAGGGCGACACACGUGCUACAAUGGGCGGUACAGAGGGCAGCUACACUGCGAAGUGAUGCUAAUCUCGAAAGCCGUUCUCAGUUCGGAUCGGAGUCUGCAACCCGACUCCGUGAAGUUGGAUUCGCUAGUAAUCGCGUAUCAGCCAUGACGCGGUGAAUACGUUCCCGGGCCUUGUACACACCGCCCGUCAAGCCAUGGAAGUUCGGAGCGCCUAAAGUACGUAACCGUAAGGAGCGUCCUAGGGUGAAACGAGUAACUGGGGCU
This 1446-nucleotide ribosomal RNA is filed under the name uncultured Bacteroidota bacterium. Its description in RNAcentral is "bacterial SSU rRNA". It matches the Rfam family "Bacterial small subunit ribosomal RNA". The record is from RNAcentral. Lineage: Bacteria; Pseudomonadati; Bacteroidota.